Molecule: RNA transcript, 2735 nt
Organism: Oncorhynchus nerka (sockeye salmon)
Lineage: Eukaryota; Metazoa; Chordata; Actinopteri; Salmoniformes; Salmonidae
Exons: 3
Source: RefSeq, a predicted model, not a curated record
GUUUCUGCUCAGGUCUCCUCCAGUUGACGUCCAGGGGUCAGGUGGUGGCUGCAGGGACAGCAACCUCUCCCUCCUUCUCUCUAACCCCUGCAGUGUCUUGGUCAGCAGAGGCCUGUCACUGUGUACUACCUGAUGGUGAGGUCAUCAAUGGCCUACUGCACAUCUUUAUCAAGCCCCAUGUAAGUCCUACAAAACAAGGUAUGUCUCAGCUGGAGCCAUCUGACGGCAAGGACAGGUGAUGAGGUGUUCCUCCGUCAGUGUGCUUUGAACCUGGCCCUCUGGUCAGAAUCAUGGCGGUGGCGUGGAGGACAAAGACUGAUAGGGUCAUCUCAGAUGAGCUCUUCAAGUGGUUCAUCUUGUGAUUGUAACAGUUUUAGGUCAUCAGCUCAGCAGUCAGGCUCUGUCUGUAUCAAUGGCGACGUGGUAAACUUCUGCGGCAUCAGAACUGGCCCAACCUGCUGUAAUGUAGCUAGUUGUUUUGUUAUGUCUAAGUGGUGGAGGCAUCUCUAGUGUUGUGGGUGGGGGUGUGCUCAGUUGCUGGGGGAGAUGACUGGAUAACUCAAGGAGAUAACCCUUCACCACAGUGGAAUGACUGGAGGGAAAGAUACCACGCUCUCCAUUUUCACAGUACUGAUGGCACACGUUGUGCCUUGCUGAAUAGACUACACUGAGCCUGGAAUAACCCUAAGUCUCACCUCACUGUAUCCCUGGGUUGAUGUUGCGUUACAUCAUGACUGUGACCUGACCCACUUCUUCAUAUAUGAUAGUUGACCGUGAUGUGGGGAAACUGUAUACAUUUGGCUAUGAAACAAGUGUUCUCUUACUAUUCUAUUAAUAUUGACUUUUGCAGAUAAAAUUCCAUAAUGCACAACAUUUACUGCAAGUACAAAUAGGCCUAUAGUGUGUUGUGUACACUGUUGCCAAAACAUUAGCUUGUUGCUUUUCAAAUCUUAGACUUGCAACCUUGUGGUAUGAACAGAUACCAGUUUACAUUAAACAGAAGACUGAAUUGGGUAUGAAAUUAAUUACACACACCAUGUUUGGAUAACUUAACAUUUAAACAACUCGUAAACAAGCCCAUAUAUUGUGAGAUCUACUUUCUGUUCCCGAAAGGAUUAUGAAAUCAAGGGGUCCCUCUUGUGGAGAUGUGGCAUACUACACAAAGAUUACAUUACAUUACAUUUAGGGGCGGUUUCACAGACACAGAUUAAGCCGAGUCCUAGACUAAAUUGCACUUUUAAAUUGGACUAAAUUAAAUUUCUCAGACAUGGUUUAAAAUAGUCUUAGACUUGCCCUAGUCUAAAUUUUUAGUCUGAUUUCCAGAAGGACGAUUAGAGUUCAUCUAGAUCUAAGUGUAGGCUUAAAUGAAACCUUGCCAGAGGCAGGCUUAACUUCAGAUUAAUGGGUGUUGGUCCCCAGGUUGACCCUGGCAGUGGAGAAAAAUGGAUUACCUGGACUAUUUUAAUGAUGAUCAAAGAGCACCACCAAGACUUGACAGAAGGGUGGUUAUAGACAGGAGCAACCCACUGAAUGAUUUUGAUGAAAUCAAUUACUGUGACCUUUUCUGUAUUUACAAAGAAAAUGCAGCUGACAAUAGUUCGCAUGAGCCAAGGCUUUCAUCUGACUCUCUGCCGGGAAGGCCCAUCCCUCCUUCCUUACAAGUACUGAUCACCUUGAGGUUUUUGGCACCUGAAACCUUCCGCCGUGAAACAGAAGAUUUGGGUGGUCUAAGUGAACCGACUGUACGCAGAAUAGUCCACAAAGUCUGCAGUGCUAUAUGUGAACUGAAAGACAAUUGCAUCAAGUUCUCUGAUGCUUCUGCCCAAGCCAACUACACGGUAGAGUUAGUGUUAGGGUUCUGAGAAACAACGGUACAACCAAGCUCAUAUCCACACCAGAGGUUUAAUGGAGCACAUGUUUGGUGUAUGGAAGAGUCAUUUCCAGUGUCUCAAACACAUUGCGCUUUCAACCAAGAAGAUGCUGCAUUUGUCAUAAUUGCAACAGCAGUGCUUCACAAUUACCUCAAACAGCAUGGCUACCCAGAUCAAUUACUUCAAACAGCAUGGCUGCCCAGAUCAAUUACUUCAAACAGCAUGGCUGCCCAGAUCAAUUACUUCAAACAGCAUGGCUGCCCAGAUCAAUUACUUCAAACAGCAUGGCUGCCCAGAUCAAUUACUUCAAACAGCAUGGCUGCCCAGAUCAAUUACUUCAAACAGCAUGGCUGCCCAGAACCUCACAUUAAAGAUGGGAAUGACCCAGAUGUUCCCAUGGUUGAGACAGACAAAUGGACAAGCCUGCAGAGAUGCUUUUAUAAUGCAGCACUUCUCACAACAAAGAUCGCUCAAGUGAUUGACGCAAACAAUAUCCAUAAUUCACAAAUGUAAAUAUUGGGACUGUGAACUGGUGCUGGUUCGAGAAGAUCAUUGGUGCUGCUUCAUGUUUCCCUCCUUUAACAGCCAACUCAUAUCAUGCUCUUCUUUUAAACAUAGUUUGCGCUCAUGAAAUUCCAAUUCCAUUACUCCCUACGAGCAACAGCAUUUGUCUUUUUCUGUUUUCGACAGGACCUUUAGAAAGACAAGAAAAUCUAUAAAUAUAUUAGUAAUUAUGUAUGAUAUUGUUUGUGUUUACAUUUCACACAUACAUUUUGGCCAAACUGUGUUGCACAAGAAAACUAACAUUUCAAAGUGACUCUGAUUUGUAAAAGUGAGCCAACAAUAAAUACAGAAUCUGACCUG